Sinocyclocheilus grahami is the source of this 141-nucleotide long non-coding RNA. RefSeq lists it as uncharacterized. NCBI's taxonomy places the organism in Eukaryota, Metazoa, Chordata, Actinopteri, Cypriniformes, Cyprinidae. The record is from RefSeq and is a predicted model, not a curated record. The transcript has 3 exons.
ACCAUGGGAAUGAGAAUAUAAAAAAAUGGGAAGAAAGAGACAAAGGUGCGCUGGCAGCCUUGCUCUGGCUGUGGAUUAAAGUGGAAGGACACGUGGGAGCCUUAUGAACUUUUUCAUUCAGUUGAAUAAAUUGAAGUGUUU